Triticum aestivum (bread wheat) is the source of this 2108-nucleotide long non-coding RNA. RefSeq lists it as uncharacterized. Lineage: Eukaryota; Viridiplantae; Streptophyta; Magnoliopsida; Poales; Poaceae. The record is from RefSeq and is a predicted model, not a curated record. The transcript has 2 exons.
UUAGUUCCAUCAUUGCAGGAGCUGAUUUUAGUUGAAAUGCCAGAGUUGGAGAGAUGUACCUGCACUUCCCUAGGGGAUUUGAACUCUAGUUUAAGGGUACUGGAGAUUCGGAGCUGCCCUGCACUCAAGGUGUUCGAUCUGUUUGAGAAAGGUCAUAACUUUGCUGAGCAGCCGUCAUUGUUUGAAGGUCAUAACUACGGAACUGGGUGGAAGCUAUGGUUGCCUGGUCUUAGAGUACUCAUAGUAAUCAAUUGUCCUCAUUUACUGAUGCCGUGUCUCCUACCACAUUCAACUAAUGUUUCUAGACUGCACAUCGACGGAGUUCCAACACUUCUGAAGAUGGAGGGAUCGUCCACAGAAAAACUAGAAAUUUCUCCAAAUAGUCGAUCUGGUGAGAAUUCCGUCUUAAUCAGCUCUUCUCUUUAAGGGAUCUCCGUAUAGUAGGGUGCAGAAAACUUUUCUCUUCAGAUGUUCGGCCAGAGCUUACUGAUGAAUAUGCGAUAGGUGCAUAUCGGUUUGGCCUCCGGUGUCUCAGAAGUCUCUAUAUUAGUUCAUCAGGAAUAACAGGGAAGUGGUUAUCUUUGAUGUUGCAACAUGCGCAAAUCCUGAAGGAACUGUGCUUAAAUGACUGCCCUCAGUUCACACAAUUACAGAUUGAAGAGGAAGAGAACAGUCAACCAAAUUUUAUCUCAGCCCCAGAGACUUCAUCAAGCUGGGGUCCAGAUGGACUUUUGUGCAUUCCAUUAAAUCUCACCUCCUCUCUAGAAAAGAUAGCUAUUUCUCGAAGCCCUUAUUUGAGAUUUUACGGGAAGAAGGAAGACUUUGCUGGAUUUACCUCCCUGCAGGAGCUAAUAAUUCGAUGCUGUCCUGGGCUGCUCUCAUCCUUGGUGCAUAAUGACGGAAAUGAUGUCCAGGCAAACAGAACAUGGCUUCUUCCGCAGCCACUUGGACAAGUUGUGAUCAGUCAUUAUGAUCACAAAACACUAUCACUCUGCUUCAUGGGUAAUCUCACCUGUCUCAAAAAAUUGGAAGUAUUGGAAAGCCCAGGCUUGGAAUCUCUACAGCUGCAUUCCUGCACGUCGCUUGAAGAUUUGAGAAUUCGUGAAUGCAAACAGCUUGCCACAGUAAAGGGAAUGCAAUCCCUUGUGAACCUCAUGAAUUUGGAAGUACAAGAAAACCCUAGUUUGGUAUCUCUACAGUUGCAUUCCUGCAGGUCGCUGGAAGAUCUGAGAAUUGAAAAAUGUGAAUCACUCAUCGCACUAGAGGGCUUGCAAUCCCUUGUGAACCUCAGGAAUUUGGCCCUACUCAACUCCCCUGGCUUGCCUCCAUAUUUGGAACGUUUGUCGGGGCACUAUGAGCUGGGCCCUCGACUCGAAAGUCUUCACAUUGAUGACUUGUCUCUCCUUACCAUGUCACUGUGCAAUGGCCUCACUUGCCUCCAAUGCCUACGACUUGAGAAGCUGGAACAGGGAGGGACAAGACUAACAGAUGAGCAAGAGAGAGCGCUACUGCUCCUCAGGUCCCUGCAAAACCUUGAAUUUGAUGAUUGUUUCAACCUCGUACAUCUUCCUGUGAGACUGCACAGCCUUCCUUCCCUCAAGACAUUGAGUAUCGUUUGUUGUGAUGACAUCCCAAGGCUGCCUAAGAAGGGCCUCCCAUCUUCGCUGGAAAGGCUAGUGAUAUACGAUUGCAGUACUGAGCUAAGAGAACAGUGUGAAUCGCUAACAAGAGGCAAGCUAAGGGUUGUGAUGAAUGACUGAAUUUUGCGCAGGGCGAUGCAGAAACAUCUUCUUUCAAGAUUCAAGACGCGUGUCCUUGUUUGGGGAUAUGUGCUACAGCUCACCGCUAGGUUUACAACUGUUCUACCAUUGAUCAUGUUAUCUUGAGAAUUGACAUAACUCAGCGUCGUGCUAAAAUGAGCGGUCUCUCUGCAAGCAUUUGAAGAUGUUGAACAUAUUGUUGAUGCAGUAACCAUCUUUAGGAUCAUGACAUAUACCGUAUAAUUAUAAGGUAUUGGAGAGAGUGCUCAGGCCAUCCCUGUUUCUCCUGGGCGACCUGUUAUAUAACCUAUGUUUGAAGAAAUAAAUUAUGCUAGACAUAUUUAUCUA